AUUCCUGAUGUGUAUUGUUCACCAAUACACUCUGGCAGCAAGCGAAGGUGUCGUUGGCACCCGUGACAUGAUCCCCCCGGUUGUGUCACGAUUUUUUUUA
This 100-nucleotide non-coding RNA is filed under the name Vibrio rumoiensis 1S-45. RNAcentral's name for it is "Translational regulator of tfoXVC". It matches the Rfam family "Translational regulator of tfoXVC". The record is from Rfam by way of RNAcentral. Lineage: Bacteria; Pseudomonadati; Pseudomonadota; Gammaproteobacteria; Vibrionales; Vibrionaceae.